GAUUAUUGGGCGUAAGCGCGCGCAGGUGGUUUCUUAAGUCUGAUGUGAAAGCCCACGGCUCAACCGUGGAGGGUCAUUGGAAACUGGGAGACUUGAGUGCAGAAGAGGAAAGUGGAAUUCCAUGUGUAGCGGUGAAAUGCGUAGAGAUAUGGAGGAACACCAGUGGCGAAGGCGACUUUCUGGUCUGUAUCUGACACUGAGGCGCGAAAGCGUGGGGAGCAAACAGGAUUAUAUACCC
RNAcentral lists this ribosomal RNA (238 nucleotides) under Bacillus cereus. RNAcentral's name for it is "partial 16S ribosomal RNA". It matches the Rfam family "Bacterial small subunit ribosomal RNA", at positions 550 to 787 of the family's 1533-position model. The record is from RNAcentral. Lineage: Bacteria; Bacillati; Bacillota; Bacilli; Caryophanales; Bacillaceae.